RNAcentral lists this ribosomal RNA (913 nucleotides) under uncultured archaeon. Its description in RNAcentral is "bacterial SSU rRNA". It matches the Rfam family "Archaeal small subunit ribosomal RNA", at positions 1 to 922 of the family's 1478-position model. The record is from RNAcentral.
UUCCGGUUGAUCCUGCCGGACCUGACUGCUAUCGGAUUGAUACUAAGCCAUGCGAGUCAUUGUAGUAAUACAAGGCAGACGGCUCAGUAACGCGUAGUCAACCUACCCUAUGGACGGGGAUAACCUCGGGAAACUGAGAAUAAUACCCGAUAGAACAUUAUACCUGGAAUGGUUUAUGUUUCAAAUAAUUUAUUGCCGUAGGAUGGGACUGCGGCCUAUCAGUUUGUUGGUGAGGUAAUGGCCCACCAAGACUAUUACAGGUACGGGCUCUGAGAGGAGUAGCCCGGAGAUGGGUACUGAGGCACGGACCCAGGCCCUAUGGGGCGCAGCGGGCGAGAAAACUUUGCAAUGUGCGAAAGCACGACAAGGUUAAUCCGAGUGGUUUCUGCUAAAGGAACCUUUUGUCAGUCCUAGAAACACUGGUGAAUAAGGGGUGGGCAAGUUCUGGUGUCAGCCGCCGCGGUAAAACCAGCACCUCAAGUGGUCAGGAGGAUUAUUGGGCCUAAAGCAUCCGUAGCCGGCUCUGUUAGUUUUCGGUUAAAUCCAUACGCUCAACGUAUGGGCCGCCGGGAAUACUGCACAGCUAGGGAGUGGGAGAGGUAGACGGUACUCGGUAGGAAGGGGUAAAAUCCUUUGAUCUAUUGAUGACCACCAGUGGCGAAGGCGGUCUACCAGAACACGUCCGACGGUGAGGGAUGAAAGCUGGGGGAGCAAACCGGAUUAGAUACCCGGGUAGUCCCAGCUGUAAACUAUGCAAACUCGGUGAUGCGUUGGCUUGUAGCCAGUGCAGUGCCGCAGGGAAGCCGUUAAGUUUGCCGCCUGGGAAGUACGUACGCAAGUAUGAAACUUAAGGAAUUGGCGGGGGAGCACCACAAGGGGUGAAGCCUGCGGUUCAAUUGGAUUCAACGCCGGA